AUAGUAAUUAGUAUUACUUUAUGUAUAUAUUUAUGUCUAUAUUAUUGUCUAUAUAUGGCUCUUUUGCGUACGUUAUGCGGCUGAGCAUUAAUCUUUAUACUACGAUCGCGAUUCCCGCCUGGUUCAUCACUUGCAAGUGGUAGUAUUACACGGUAAACGUGGCAAAUAGUUGCUAGACUACCUGAAGCACAUAGGCCUAGACAUAGAUUUUUGCCUUCUCACACACAACUGAGUAGGUCUUAAAAGUGUGUAAAUUUCCGUUGUCGAAUAUUCCUGUCCAUCUACUAACACUUAUUAAUAAUAACUGAAGCACUUAGUCUUAUAGUGAUAUGGAUAGCUAACUAGAAUGUCUUUCAAAAAUAAGUAACAUUAACAAAACGUUACUGUGUAACGGAGUAAACAAUUACACAAUACUGCAGUACUAGUAUAAACUAUUAUGCAAAGAUGAACAGUCACAAUACUCAAUACUCAAUAGGCGCG
This is a non-coding RNA of Paramuricea clavata, 480 nucleotides long. The record is from the annotation of a GenBank genome assembly. Lineage: Eukaryota; Metazoa; Cnidaria; Anthozoa; Malacalcyonacea; Plexauridae.